Non-coding RNA from Podarcis lilfordi (Lilford's wall lizard), 75 nucleotides. The record is from the annotation of a GenBank genome assembly. Lineage: Eukaryota; Metazoa; Chordata; Lepidosauria; Squamata; Lacertidae.
GGAAGGGUUGUAGCUUGGUGGUAGAGCACUGGUUUUGCAUGCAGAAGGCCCUGGGUUCAAUCCCCAGCAUUUCCA